CGGGGCGUGGCGCAGCCUGGUAGCGCGCCUGGUUCGGGACCAGGAGGCCGUAGGAUCAAAUCCUAUCGCCCCGA
This 74-nucleotide transfer RNA is filed under the name Planctomycetota bacterium. RNAcentral's name for it is "tRNA-Pro". It matches the Rfam family "tRNA". Rfam says of the family: Transfer RNA (tRNA) molecules are approximately 80 nucleotides in length. The record is from RNAcentral. Lineage: Bacteria; Pseudomonadati; Planctomycetota.